CCUACGGGUGGCAGCAGUGAGGAAUAUUGGUCAAUGGGCGCGAGCCUGAACCAGCCAAGUAGCGUGAAGGAUGACUGCCCUACGGGUUGUAAACUUCUUUUAUAAAGGAAUAAAGUGAGGCACGUGUGCCUUUUUGUAUGUACUUUAUGAAUAAGGAUCGGCUAACUCCGUGCCAGCAGCCGCGUUAAAACGGGGGAUCUGAGCGUUUUCCGGAUUUAUUGGGUUUAAAGGGAUGUUAGAGGGGUUGUUAAUUCUGUUGUUAAAGUUUGCGGCUCAACCGUAAAAUUGCAAUUGAUACUGGCAGUCUUGAGUACAGUUGAGGUAGGCGGAAUUCGUGGUGUAGCGGUGAAAUGCUUAGAUAUCACGCAGAACUCCGAUUGCGAAGGCAGCUUACUAAUCUGCCACUGACAUUGAUGCUCGAAAGUGUGGGUAUCGAACAGGAGUAGAUACCCGUGUAGUC
RNAcentral lists this ribosomal RNA (460 nucleotides) under uncultured bacterium. RNAcentral describes it as "partial 16S ribosomal RNA". It matches the Rfam family "Bacterial small subunit ribosomal RNA", at positions 338 to 795 of the family's 1533-position model. The record is from RNAcentral.